RNAcentral lists this ribosomal RNA (412 nucleotides) under uncultured bacterium. Its description in RNAcentral is "bacterial SSU rRNA". It matches the Rfam family "Bacterial small subunit ribosomal RNA", at positions 355 to 766 of the family's 1533-position model. The record is from RNAcentral.
UCGAGAAUCUUCGGCAAUGGGCGAAAGCCUGACCGAGCGACGCCGCGUGCGGGAUGAAGGCCCUCGGGUUGUAAACCGCUGUCAGUGGGGAGGAAGGCUCUGUGAAGAGCAGGGUUUGACCUAUCCGCAGAGGAAGUCCGGGCUAAGUUCGUGCCAGCAGCCGCGGUAACACGAACCGGACAAACGUUAUUCGGAAUCACUGGGCUUAAAGGGUGCGUAGGCGGCCUGACAAGUUGGGUGUGAAAUCCCUCGGCUCAACCGAGGAAUUGCGCUCAAAACUGUUGGGCUCGAGGGAGUUAGAGGUAAGCGGAACUUAGGGUGGAGCGGUGAAAUGCGUUGAUAUCCUAAGGAACACCAGUGGCGAAAGCGGCUUACUGGAGCUCUUCUGACGCUGAGGCACGAAAGCUAGGGG